This 63-nucleotide transfer RNA is filed under the name Tonoscolex birmanicus. Its description in RNAcentral is "tRNA-Val". The record is from RNAcentral. Lineage: Eukaryota; Metazoa; Annelida; Clitellata; Crassiclitellata; Megascolecidae.
CGAAACAUAGCAUAUGUUAAUGCUUUUUACUUACACUAAAAAUAAGAUUUAUAUCUGUUUCGA